Molecule: ribosomal RNA, 633 nt
Filed under: uncultured bacterium
Lineage: Bacteria
Description: bacterial SSU rRNA
Rfam family: Bacterial small subunit ribosomal RNA
Source: RNAcentral
GUCGAGCGGAAACGAGUUAUCUGAACCUUCGGGGAACGAUAACGGCGUCGAGCGGCGGACGGGUGAGUAAUGCCUAGGAAAUUGCCUUGAUGUGGGGGAUAACCAUUGGAAACGAUGGCUAAUACCGCAUGAUGCCUACGGGCCAAAGAGGGGGACCUUCGGGCCUCUCGCGUCAAGAUAUGCCUAGGUGGGAUUAGCUAGUUGGUGAGGUAAUGGCUCACCAAGGCGACGAUCCCUAGCUGGUCUGAGAGGAUGAUCAGCCACACUGGAACUGAGACACGGUCCAGACUCCUACGGGAGGCAGCAGUGGGGAAUAUUGCACAAUGGGCGCAAGCCUGAUGCAGCCAUGCCGCGUGUAUGAAGAAGGCCUUCGGGUUGUAAAGUACUUUCAGCAGUGAGGAAGGGGGUGUCGUUAAUAGCGGCAUCUCUUGACGUUAGCUGCAGAAGAAGCACCGGCUAACUCCGUGCCAGCAGCCGCGGUAAUACGGAGGGUGCGAGCGUUAAUCGGAAUUACUGGGCGUAAAGCGCAUGCAGGUGGUUUGUUAAGUCAGAUGUGAAAGCCCGGGGCUCAACCUCGGAACUGCAUUUGAAACUGGCAAACUAGAGUACUGUAGAGGGGGGUAGAAUUUCAGG